RNAcentral lists this ribosomal RNA (108 nucleotides) under uncultured Acidobacteriota bacterium. RNAcentral's name for it is "uncultured Acidobacteria bacterium partial 16S small subunit ribosomal RNA". It matches the Rfam family "Bacterial small subunit ribosomal RNA", at positions 340 to 448 of the family's 1533-position model. Lineage: Bacteria; Pseudomonadati; Acidobacteriota. The record is from RNAcentral.
UACGCGAGGCAGCAGUGGGGAAUUUUGCCCAAUGGGGGAAACCCUGAUGCAGCAACGCUGCGUGAGCGAUGAAUCCUUGGGGAAGUAAACUUCUUUCGACCGUGAAGA